GAUGAAGAACGUAGCGAAAUGCGAUACGUAAUGUGAAUUGCAGAAUUCAGUGAAUCAUCGAGUCUUUGAACGCACAUUGCGCCCGCCAGUAUUCUGGCGGGCAUGCCUGUCUGAGCGUCAUUUCAACCCUCAUGCCCCUAGGGCGUGGUGUUGGGGAUCGGCCAAAGCCCGCGAGGGACGGCCGGCCCCUAAAUCUAGUGGCGGACCCGUCGUGGCCUCCUCUGCGAAGUAGUGAUAUUCCGCAUCGGAGAGCGAUGAGCCCCUGCCGUUAAACCCCCAACUUUCCAAGGUUGACCUCAGAUCAGGUAGGAAUACCCGCUGAACUUAAGCAUAUCAAUAAGCGGAGGA
RNAcentral lists this unclassified non-coding RNA (348 nucleotides) under soil metagenome. Its description in RNAcentral is "partial contains 5.8S ribosomal RNA, internal transcribed spacer 2, and large subunit ribosomal RNA". The stretch from base 1 to 120 matches the Rfam family "5.8S ribosomal RNA", at positions 35 to 154 of the family's 154-position model. The record is from RNAcentral.